Molecule: long non-coding RNA, 1349 nt
Organism: Ictalurus punctatus (channel catfish)
Lineage: Eukaryota; Metazoa; Chordata; Actinopteri; Siluriformes; Ictaluridae
Source: Ensembl
GGUGAUUAUAACUUGAAGGAAAGUUUAUGUGCGAUUUUCAGGUUGUGAACCUAUAAAAACUCUGAUAUUACAUGAAAGAAUAACAUUCUGGACUAUGCCGCAAAUCUUCAAUUACUUAAGGGACGUUAUUGAAUAUUCUCCAAGUCUUUAACUGCUGUAAAUUAACAUUCUGGAAUAUUCCUCAAGUCUUUAUCUGCUGUAUAUUAACAUUCUGGAAUAUUCCUCAAGUCUUUAACUGCUGUAUAUUAACAUUCUGGAAUAUUCCCCGUCUUUAACUCCUGUACAUUAACAUUCUGGAAUAUUCCUCAAGUCUUUAACUGCUGUAAAUUAACAUUCUGGAAUAUUCCCCAAGUCUUUAACUGCUGUAUAUUAACAUUCUGGAAUAUUCCCCGUCUUUAACUGCUGUAAAUUAACAUUCUGGAAUAUUCCCCAAGUCUUUAACUGCUGUAUAUUAACAUUCUGGAAUAUUCCCCGUCUUUAACUGCUGUAAAUUAACAUUCUGGAAUAUUCCCUGUCUUUAUCUGCUGUAUAUUAACAUUCUUGAAUAUUCCCCGUCUUUAUCUGCUGUAUAUUAACAUUCUGGAAUAUUCCCCAAGUCUUUAACUGCUGUAAAUUAACAUUCUGGAAUAUUCUCCAAGUCUUUAACUGCUGUAAAUUAACAUUCUGGAAUAUUCCCCGUCUUUAACUGCUGUAAAUUAACAUUCUGGAAUAUUCCCCGUCUUUAUCUGCUGUAUAUUAACAUUCUGGAAUAUUCCCCAAGUCUUUAACUGCUGUAAAUUAACAUUCUGGAAUAUUCUCCAAGUCUUUAACUGCUGUAAAUUAACAUUCUGGAAUAUUCCCCAAGUCUUUAACUGCUGUAAAUUAACAUUCUGGAAUAUUCCCCAAGUCUUUAACUGCUGUAAAUUAACACUCUGGAAUAUUCCUCAAGUCUUUAACUGCUGUAAAUUAACAUUCUGGAAUAUUCCCCAAGUCUUUAACUGAUGUAAAUUAACACUCUGGAAUAUUCCCCAAGUCUUUAACUGAUGUAAAUUAACACUCUGGAAUAUUCCCCAAGUCUUUAACUACAAAAGAAAGGCUUGCAAGCACUUUUGUUGUGGAUAAAGAGUUUUCAAAAAAAGAAAGAAAAAAAAGCUGAUUUUCUACGAAUAGUGAUGAGAGAUGCUAAUAGGAAUAAUUACUAACGAUAAUUGCUACACUUUUGAAUCUCUGGGACUGGUACUGGCUCUGUCACGUGAUUUAGGUACAGACUGAAUAAUUCACAAUAGACAGUAAAUCAGAAUUUUUUUUUUUUUCAGAUUUCAGAAACCACAAAGCUCAACAGGGUUUUAGUAUGCUAGUCUGAUUUGUAC